GGGCCCGCACAAGCGGUGGAGCAUGUGGUUUAAUUCGAUGAUACGCGAGGAACCUUACCAGGACUUAAAUGUAAGUUGCAUGAUUCAGAAAUGAAUCUUUCUUCGGACUACUUACAAGGUGCUGCAUGGUUGUCGUCAGCUCGUGCCGUGAGGUGUCAGGUUAAGUCCUAUAACGAGCGCAACCCCUAUCGUUAGUUGCCAUCAAGUAAAGUUGGGAACUCUAGCGAAACUGCCGGUGUAAACCGAGAGGAAGGUGGGGAUGACGUCAAAUCAUCAUGCCCCUUAUGUCCAGGGCUGCACGCAUGCUACAAUGGCAAGUACAACGAGUCGCAAUACCGCGAGGUGGAGCAAAUCUCUUAAAGCUUGUCUCAGUUCGGAUAGGAGUCUGCAACUCGACUCCUUGAAGUUGGAGUCGCUAGUAAUCG
This 425-nucleotide ribosomal RNA is filed under the name uncultured bacterium. RNAcentral describes it as "bacterial SSU rRNA". It matches the Rfam family "Bacterial small subunit ribosomal RNA", at positions 917 to 1344 of the family's 1533-position model. The record is from RNAcentral.